RNAcentral lists this ribosomal RNA (493 nucleotides) under uncultured bacterium. Its description in RNAcentral is "bacterial SSU rRNA". It matches the Rfam family "Bacterial small subunit ribosomal RNA", at positions 373 to 883 of the family's 1533-position model. The record is from RNAcentral.
GGGCGAAAGCCUGAUGCAGCAACGCCGCGUGAAGGAAGAAGGGUUUCGGCUCGUAAACUUCUAUCAACAGGGACGAAAAAAAUGACGGUACCUGAAUAAGAAGCCCCGGCUAACUACGUGCCAGCAGCCGCGGUAAUACGUAGGGGGCAAGCGUUAUCCGGAAUUACUGGGUGUAAAGGGAGAGUAGGCGGCAUGGUAAGUUAGAUGUGAAAGCCCGAGGCUUAACCUCGGGAUUGCAUUUAAAACUAUCAAGCUAGAGUACAGGAGAGGUAAGUGGAAUUCCUAGUGUAGCGGUGAAAUGCGUAGAUAUUAGGAAGAACACCAGUGGCGAAGGCGACUUACUGGACUGAAACUGACGCUGAGGCUCGAAAGCGUGGGGAGCGAACAGGAUUAGAUACCCUGGUAGUCCACGCUGUAAACGAUGAGUGCUAGGUGUCGGGGGGGAACCCUCGGUGCCGCAGCUAACGCAAUAAGCACUCCACCUGGGGAGUAC